GAGAAUUUUUCUCAAUGGGGGAAACCCUGAAGGAGCGACGCCGCGUGGAGGAUGAAGGUCUUCUGAUUGUAACUCCUGUCAUUUGAGAACAAGUGUAUGCCAGUAACUAUGGCGUACUUGAUAGUAUCAGAAGAGGAAGAGACGGCUAACUCUGUGCCAGCAGCCGCGGUAAUACAGAGGUCUCAAGCGUUGUUCGGAUUCAUUGGGCGUAAAGGGAGCGUAGGCGGUCGGGUAAGUUGGAUGUGAAAUCCUGGGGCUCAACCUCAGAACUGCAUUCAAUACUGCUUGGCUAGAGUAUUGGAGAGGUGAGUGGAAUUCACGGUGUAGCAGUGAAAUGCGUAGAUAUCGUGAGGAAGACCAGCGGCGAAGGCGGCUCACUGGACAAUUACUGACGCUGAUGCUCGAAGGCUAGGGGAGCAAAC
RNAcentral lists this ribosomal RNA (422 nucleotides) under uncultured bacterium. RNAcentral describes it as "bacterial SSU rRNA". It matches the Rfam family "Bacterial small subunit ribosomal RNA", at positions 357 to 773 of the family's 1533-position model. The record is from RNAcentral.